GAUGAACGCUGGCGGCGUGCCUAACACAUGCAAGUCGAGCGAACAGACGAGGAGCUUGCUCCUUUGACGUUAGCGGCGCGCGUGUGAGUAACACGUGGAAACCCCCCUUGAAAUUCGGGGAAAUUUCGGAGAAACCGGAGAAAAUCCGGGAGAAUAUAUUGAACCGCAGGGUGCAUUGGAAAAAUACGGUUUUUGGGUCACUAAUAGAUGAUUCCGCGCCGGUUUGGGUAGUGGGUAAGUAACAGGCUUACCAAGGCUAGCAGGCGUGAGCGACCGGAGGGAGUGAUCGGCCACACUGGAACUGAGACACGGACCAGACUACUACGGGAGGCAGCAGUAGGGUAUCUUACGCAAUGGGCGAAAGCCUGACGGAGCAAGGCCGCGUGAGUGAUGACGGCCUUCGGAGCGUAAAACUCUGUUAUGAGGGAUGAACAAAUGUGUAAGUAACUAUGCCCGUAUUGACGGUACCUAAUCAGAAAGCAACGGCUAACUACGUG
This 497-nucleotide ribosomal RNA is filed under the name uncultured bacterium. RNAcentral describes it as "partial 16S ribosomal RNA". It matches the Rfam family "Bacterial small subunit ribosomal RNA", at positions 28 to 507 of the family's 1533-position model. The record is from RNAcentral.